GAUGAACGCUAGCGGCAGGCUUAACACAUGCAAGUCGAGGGGUAGAGGAAGCUUGCUUCCUUGAGACCGGCGCACGGGUGCGUAACGCGUAUACAAUCUACCUUUUACAGAGGGAUAGCCCAGAGAAAUUUGGAUUAAUACCUCAUAGUAUAGUACUUUGGCAUCAAGGAACUAUUAAAGUCACAACGGCAAAAGAUGAGCAUGCGUCCCAUUAGCUAGUUGGUAAGGUAACGGCUUACCAAGGCUACGAUGGGUAGGGGUCCUGAGAGGGAGAUCCCCCCANACUGGUACUGAGACACGGACCAGACUCCUACGGGAGGCAGCAGUGAGGAAUAUUGGACAAUGGGCGCAAGCCUGAUCCAGCCAUGCCGCGUGCAGGAUGACGGUCCUAUGGAUUGUAAACUGCUUUUAUACAGGAAGAAACACUCCGACGUGUCGGAGCCUUGACGGUACUGUAAGAAUAAGGAUCGGCUAACUCCGUGCCAGCA
Molecule: ribosomal RNA, 488 nt
Filed under: uncultured bacterium
Lineage: Bacteria
Description: bacterial SSU rRNA
Rfam family: Bacterial small subunit ribosomal RNA
Source: RNAcentral